GGGCAAGUGGUGGAAUGGCAUACACGCAGGACUUAAAAUCCUGUGGCCGCAAGGCUGUGAGGGUUCGAUUCCCUCCUUGCCCACGA
This 86-nucleotide transfer RNA is filed under the name Omnitrophica WOR_2 bacterium RIFCSPHIGHO2_01_FULL_48_9. RNAcentral's name for it is "tRNA-Leu". It matches the Rfam family "tRNA". Rfam says of the family: Transfer RNA (tRNA) molecules are approximately 80 nucleotides in length. Their secondary structure includes four short double-helical elements and three loops (D, anti-codon, and T loops). The record is from RNAcentral. Lineage: Bacteria; Pseudomonadati; Candidatus Omnitrophota. RNAcentral also lists the same sequence under 1 other name.